CCUGCCAGGUGGAGCCUGAGCAUCCUCACAGAUUCCCGUCCCCAAGCCCAUCCUUCCCUGCAGCCUCCGAGAAAGCCUCCCAAGCAGCCGCCAGCUUCCGAAAGAGUGGAAGAGACAGGGAAAGAAAAAAGAAAUACUGAUGUGAGAGAAGCACAUUGAUUGGUUGCCUCCUGCCUGGGCCGGCAACCAAGAAACAACCGUUCUGCUGUGGAAGCCGGCCCUGCAGAGGCUCUGGAUGCAAACUCGACCUCUUCCCUCCCAGGGGUGGUGUAGGAGUCUAUGAAUGGCUAAAAGUGGUUUGAAAUACUAUAAUAAAAAGAAGGAGA
Long non-coding RNA from Eptesicus fuscus (big brown bat), 326 nucleotides. RefSeq lists it as uncharacterized. The record is from RefSeq and is a predicted model, not a curated record. The transcript is spliced from 3 exons. Lineage: Eukaryota; Metazoa; Chordata; Mammalia; Chiroptera; Vespertilionidae.